RNAcentral lists this long non-coding RNA (6715 nucleotides) under Lactuca sativa (garden lettuce). RNAcentral's name for it is "long non-coding RNA (LSAT_LNC001041)". The record is from RNAcentral. Lineage: Eukaryota; Viridiplantae; Streptophyta; Magnoliopsida; Asterales; Asteraceae.
GAGUGCUCAUAAGUUAUGAGUAUUGGAUUAAACCCACGCUCACUUGUAUCACUUCAUGGAAUUUCUCUCGAGUGAUCGUGAGAUGGUAAUAUCAUAUAAAUCUUCAAACCUAGAGAUAUGAGUUGUUACCUAUGAGUUGGUUGUGCAUUGAUUGCACGUAAACGCAUCAGUAACUUGAUGUUAUAAAACGUGCCUUUGUGUACAAUUCAACAAGUAGUAGAACAAGCAUAUGAGUCGAAGUUUAUCUGUUCCUUCUAGAAAUNGAAAAGUAUACAAGUAUACCGAACCGCCGAAAUUCGUAACUUCAAGUAGAACAAAACAUAAGUAAAUGGGUGUUGUACACUGCGGUUAAACCUGGGCAGUUAUGUAGUCGUGUCUAGGGUCAAUAUAGCCUGGCCAACUAUAUUCAUUCGAGACACGGCCAACAUGUGCUUGGGAGUGACUGUGGUACGCAACAUGCCUAAAACUUAUCUAAUAUCUCAAACAACGAAUCGCCGCUGCAGCGAACCAUGAAAUACUAUGGGAGUAUUUCUCGAGCCAAUCCUUCGUAGAAAAUCCUCGUAUACGCGAUGUUAUCUGAUCAUUCCGCUAGCGAUAAAAUGUUCUGUUUUGAUAACUCCUUCCUGCUUUAUCGCUUAGUAUGAUGCUAUAUCUGUCUUGAUGAGAUAUCCCCUGUUCAAUAUCUCUUGAUUCAAUUCAGAGGACUUAUAAUCCCCUCUUUCCUGAUCUUUUUAGAUCAAGAUGCCUCCGAGAAAGAGACCCAGCUCGAAGAACAACGAUAAUCCUCCUCCGCCACCACCUUCUCCUCAAUUUGAUCUCGCAUCACUUCAGACAGCUCUGACUGCUGCAAUGGUGGCAGCUAUGUCUCAAAUGAAUCCCGGUGGCUCCGGAGGUGGUCCCCAACCUCAAAACCCAGAAGGCAGCCAGGAACACCGAAGAGGGGGUUCCUACAAAGACUUCAUGAAUGCGAAACCCACAACCUUUGAUGGCACUGGAGGUGUCAUUUCCCUGACUCGAUGGUUCGAGAAGAUCGAGUCAAUCUUCGAAAUAUGUGCCUGUUCGGAGUCUGAUAAAGUCAAGUUUGCUGCUUGUACCUUCCUUGACAAAGCCCUGACUUGGUGGAACGGCUAAGUCAAAUCCUUAACUCUAUCUGUAGCGAAUGCCAUGGGUUGGGAACCUAUGAAGGAGCUUCUACUUGCAGAGUACUGCCCUCGGGGCGAAAUUCAGAAACUGGAACACGAACUCUGGAACCUGAAGAUGAAGGGUUCCAACAUAGCAGCUUAUACUUCAAGAUUCGAUGACCUGGCUUUACUCUGUCCGGGAAUGGUUACCCCGGAGAGUAAAAAGAUCGAAAGAUUCAUUUGGGGAUUGACCCAGCCAACCAAGGGGAAUGUCUUGGCUGCGAAGCCAGACACGUACGACAGCGCUAAAUGCCUUGCGAAAAUGUUGAUCGAUCACGAAGACAACUAUGAUGAGGAAACUACCACUCCCGAUUCGGACACAAGUGGAGGUGAAAGUAAAAAGAAAUCUUGGAACAAGCGAAAGGCCCAGAGUAUGAGAGGGUCUUCAAAGAAACAACAAACGGUAGCAGUCCAUGCUGCUACUACCCCUGUUACUGUAUCAACUGUUGGAUCUACAGCCCAAACUCCCACCAGUGGAUACACUGGCAGUCUUCCUUGGUGUGGUAAGUGCAACUACCAUCACCGUAUCCCUGGUCCAUGUCGCGAAAGGAGUUGCGACAACUGUGGCAAGAAGGGCCAUCUGUCUCGAACUUGUAGAAAACCGGCCAAGUCAACAAACCAAUCAUCGGGGGCAGGAAUCAGUCCAGCCUGCUACGAUUGUGGUGAGGCAGGACAUUUCAAAAGGAAUUGCCCCAAAGCAACUACCACCACUGAUCCCUCUGUCGCCGCAGGUAUACUUCUCUUUGAUAACUCUUAUACCUGCAACUCUUUCUGAUUCCCGUGUUUGGAAGGAAACUUGUUAUCUAUCUAUUCGAACGUUUUCUAAGUCCGCUUCCUUGUGUGUGAUCGAGACGUGCAUCAUCGAGACGACUAACCAAUGAGAUUGAGCACACUAACUUCGUACCUAUAGAUUGAAUCCUCGGUCCAGAGGACUAUUCUGUUCCAUUCGGUUAAUGAGAAACCUUUCGCGAUAAUACCUUGAUGCUACGUUUAACAUGGAAUGACGGAGUCCCAUUCAUGUUGUUAUCCUGGUUUCGAGAGGGUCGCCUGUCUAUAUCUCUUUGCUCGACCUAACUCUCAUGAUCUUCGGCAUCAAACUUUCGUAUUGUGUCAUGCUUUAAAACUCAAGAGUUUUUCUUGGUACGAAUUACCACGUUCCUCGUUUCUGUGUUCAUUUGGAAACGAGAAGUUAGUAGCUCUUUCUACUAAAGAUCUGUCCCGAAGAGUUUCCGGGAAAAUUCAUUAGAACAUCUAAAGUUUAAUUCCACAUCGUAUGUUUCGAAAUCUUCGUAGAGACCCGAUUCCACUUGAGAAAGUGAUUAUCCAAAAUAUCGAAUCCAUUCGAGUUUCAUUUCAAACUCAUGAUCUAUAUUCUAUUCUUUGAAUUUCGGGACGAAAUUCCCUCUAACGGGGGGAUAAUGUAACAACCCGAAAUUGUCCGUCGCCAAAACCCGUUUUACCCGAAAGGUCGUCAUUAUCGGAUUCGUUCCGUUUUCUCUUUGGAAUUAAUUGAUAAACUUAUAUGUUUAUUUCAUCCUAAUGAGUGUCUAAAUCACUCAGGAACUUAUGUUAGUUGCCCAAAAACAAUUAUUUCAUAAGUUUUAAAAAUGUUCCCGUCGGGUGACGGAAACUCAAUCGGGUGCGACCAAAAGCCGCGUUUAGCGUCGGUAUCGGGUAGAAUUCCACCGCGUGCAAAUUUUAGGGACUAUAUAAACGUGUUUCAGCUUUCAUUUGAAGCUUUUUCCUUCUCUCACUACUCUCUCUCUAACCUCUCUCCAAAAUCCAAAGAUUAAGUGUCCAAAACUCAAAAUUUAAGCUUCAAAUCCUUAAGGUACCUCCCUAGCCUUAAACUAUAGCAUCUUUAGCUUCCAAAUUCGAGAUUUAAACAUGAAAUUGGACAAUGUAUGUGAGUUUACGGCCUAAGAAGAUGCCUAGGCCGUAAACACCAAAUAUGAUGGGUUUUGAGCCUUUAAACCCUUCCUUGACUAGUUUGGACCUUGGAUAUAGAUAUGGGACUUUAAAAUAUGGAAUCUAAACAUGUAAAACUUGAAUUAUGUGAUGUUUGAAGGAGUUUAAGACCAAGGAUCAUUCUUGGGCCGUAAACUCAUAUAAUGAGGGUUUUCAUGCCCUUAAACCCUUCCAAAUCACUCCUACGGCUUAGAUAUGAAUUAUAGGACCUUGAUUCUAGCAUUUGGACACUUGAAACAUUAAUUUUGGGGGACUUAGAUGAGUUUACGGCCAAGGGGAGUUCUUGGGCCGUAAACUCCCCAAAACUUGGCAUAAAUUCCAUUUUAAGGUGUUAGAAAGCCAUCCAACACCACCAAAAGCCUUGGAAUAAAUCAAGGGACCAACCAAAAAUACUUUGAGGGCCUAAAACACAUCAUUUGUGAGGUUUCUAAGGGUUUACGGCCAAGACUUGUUCUUGGGCCGUAAACUCAAAAAUUUUUGGUGUUAAGAUGCAAACUACACACCCCUAAGGCCCUUAGAUGAAUUUUAGAAGUCCUUUCAUGCAAGUUCUAGACCUUGAAACACCUUGGAACACCACACACUAGAGUUUACGGCCAUGAAAGGGGUUUCAUGGGCCGUAAACUCCACAAAUCCCUCAUAUGUCCCUUGCAAACUCAUAUUAAGCCUUGGAUUAAUUCUACCAAUCACAUGUGAUUUGUUCUAACACCAUUUAACAUCAUUUUCUUGGGUAAAUAAGGGUUUACAGCCUUGUAGCCAUGCUAGGCCGUAAACUCCCUUAAAGGGGGGUCAAAUUGAUGUUUUGAAUCAUUCCAAGUCCUUAAACCAAGUCUAGAAGUUAUCCCCUAAGUGUUGGAAGUCCAAAUGGCACCAUAAAGCACCCAUCAUGAGUUUACGGCCGUAAACUCAUGGGGAAGGGUGUCUUGGCCGUAAACUCCCUUAAGGGGAGUGUUCCUUUGAUGUCCCAACUCAUUUGCCAAGUCCCUUGUGUCAUUCAUGUCCCUAAACGCCACCCGGGUCCCACCAAACACUUGUAUCGGAGUGUUAUCGCGACCUGAAGCAUUGGUCCCUAUCCGACAAUCAAUCUAAGUCCUAAUUGGAUACAAAUGUGUAUCUUUACAUCAUAAUUAGGAACCUCGUGCGUUUCCAAGUCCCGGCUCAGCUCUUAGCAUCCAAACCGUCUCAUAUCUCGUCCGGUGAGUUCAUACCCCUACGGCUUUUUCACUGUUUUCAAUGUUUUCAGGGGGGGAAUACAAGCAAGCUAUAACUGUUUUCCAAUCACAACAUUGAUGUGUUUCAAACAAUCUUUGACAAACCUAUAAACUCUUUUUCUCCUUAUGUAUUAUGCUGAGCAUAAGGAAUGACUACUCGAUUUCAACUAAAUGGAUUUUAGUUAAGGAAACAAUCAAACUAAUCAAAUUAUUAUGGGAAUAAUUUGGGGGUCUUUACUACUCUUUCUGUCGUAUACUGAUAUCUAUACCAAGUUAUUAGAUAAACUAUGUCUGUUUCAGUUUAUCUCCGUAUCAUUUGAAUGUAUUAUCCGAUAAUUUCAUGUAUGUAUCUAUACUUUACGGUAUUAUGUUUCAUAAUCUUCUGUAUGUCGAUAUCUUAUGAGAACCCUGUGAAUAGUUUAGUACUAGCUUGUGAGAUAGUCACUACCCUUUAUGGAUGAUCAGUAAAUCCUCCCCGGAAGUGUAACCAGAGUCUCCUGGAGGGAGAGCGUGGAAUUUGUGAAUAGAUCUAUUCGGGACUGACAAUCCCACACCUUAACUGUUAGCUACAGUUAGGCGGGCACGCCUAGGGUGACAAAUUUCUGGAUAUCGUUCGACGUCUGGCAAAUGUCAAGGAGGUCACGUUGUCGUAUUAGUAUGGUUACCCGACUCACAAUAUGUAUUAAUAUCAGCUUAUUCACAGUUUGGGUUCAGAAACAACGUCUCGUUCGGGAUAGUGAUCCCAUGGUUUUAUAUCUAUAUUUUAUAUCUCUUUCGGGAUUGUGAUCCCAUGGUGUUGUUUCUAGAUCUCUUUCGGGAUAGUGAUCCCAUGGUAUUAUCAAACUACUUUAUAUCCAUGUCCUAUACGGGAUAGUGAUCCCAUGGUUUACUUCUAUAUCUCUUUCGGGAUAGUGAUCCCAUGGUAUUAAUCAAACUAUUUUGAAUCUAGUUCGGGAUAGUGAUCCCAUGGUUGGUAUUUACAACUUGUAUGGGAUGUCUUUCCCCAUGGUCUUAAACUAUAUCUUAUACGGGAUAAUGAUCCCAUGGUUUGUAACUAUAACUUAUAUGGGAUAGUGAUCCCAUGGUUUUCUAAAUUCAUAUUUUAUACAGGAUAAUGAUCCUAAGGUUUCGUGUCUUAACUAUAUCUUAUACGGGAUAGUGAUCCCAUGGUUUUCUAAAACUAUAACUUAUACGGGAUAGUGAUCCCAUGGCUUUCUAAAACUAUAUCUUAUACGGGAUAGUGAUCCCAUGGUUCCUAAUCUGUAACUUAUUCGGGAUAGUGAUCCCAUGGUUUCAAUCUAUAUUUACAUAUAUACAUUAACUUAUCUCGUGUUAGUCCGGGAUGAUAGUCCCAUGAUCUUGAAUCUGUACUUUCAAAUGUGUCAAACUAACUUAUAUGUCUUUCGGGAUAGUGAUCCCAAGAUUUUCAUUAUAUAGUUUUGUGUGUUAAACUAUACUUGUGUUAUACAACCGAUCUUACAAUUAGGAAAAUAUGGGAUUUUCCUGGGGUAAAUUACAAUACAUAACCGAAUUGGUAACAAAUGAUAACUUAACCAACUUUACAUAAGAAAAUAUGGGAUUUUCUUGGAUAACAAAUCUUUUCGGAAACUAAAGGAAACCGAUACAUUUUCAUAAAACAAAACCGCUUAUGAACUCACCAGCUUUAUGCUGAUUUUCAAACCGCUUGUAUUCUCAGGUCCAAGUUAGACAGGUACUCGGUGAUCUCUUUUGGCAAAGACGGAGUGCGUAGAAGACUCGUCUCAACUUUUGUUAAUUUGAUGCAUAUGUAUAUCUUGUAUAACUUUACUUUUGAAACAAAUGUAAACUUUCAUAUAUAUGUAAGGUCAUGUUUGUUUACUGUGAUUACUAUGUACAUUGGAUUUGAUACACAACAUGGUAGUCAACCCCGGAGACGUUUCCGCCUUUGGUUUUCGGGGUGUGACAACAUUCAUGAGUGCUCAUAAGUUAUGAGUAUUGGAUUAAACCCACGCUCACUUGUAUCACUUCAUGGAAUUUCUCUCGAGUGAUCGUGAGAUGGUAAUAUCAUAUAAAUCUUCAAACCUAGAGAUAUGAGUUGUUACCUAUGAGUUGGUUGUGCAUUGAUUGCACGUAAACGCAUCAGUAACUUGAUGUUAUAAAACGUGCCUUUGUGUACAAUUCAAUAAGUAGUAGAACAAGCAUAUGAGUCGAAGUUUAUCUGUUCCUUCUAGAAAUAGAAGCGAUAUCUGGGCCCCUCGAUGAUUUUGUUGUGACCUAUGUACCGGCCUGUCAGAAUUGAAUUGAUGUGUUCGAUUAAGCUCUUUGUCAAACAAAUCGAAAAUCGGGAAACAAACUGCUGGACAAUAAGUACGACGUUGU